This 182-nucleotide ribosomal RNA is filed under the name uncultured bacterium. RNAcentral's name for it is "partial 16S ribosomal RNA". It matches the Rfam family "Bacterial small subunit ribosomal RNA", at positions 1318 to 1500 of the family's 1533-position model. The record is from RNAcentral.
ACAUGAAGCCGGAAUCGCUAGUAAUCGCGGAUCAGAAUGCCGCGGUGAAUACGUUCCCGGGUCUUGUACACACCGCCCGUCACACCAUGGGAGUUGGAAAUGCCCGAAGUCAGUGGCCCAACCGGAAGGGGGAGCUGCCGAAGGCAGGUUCGAUGACUGGGGUGAAGUCGUAACAAGGUAGC